Molecule: microRNA precursor, 61 nt
Filed under: Megaselia scalaris
Lineage: Eukaryota; Metazoa; Arthropoda; Insecta; Diptera; Phoridae
Description: mir-9/mir-79 microRNA precursor family
Source: RNAcentral
AACUUUGGUGAUAUUAGCUGUAUGUUGGUAAUUUUCUUCAUACAGCUUUAUUACCAAAAAC